GGGGAUGUAGCUCACCGGGUAGAGCGUCGCGUUCGCAAUGCGAAGGUAGUGGGUUCGAGUCCCAUCAUCUCCACCA
This 76-nucleotide transfer RNA is filed under the name Burkholderiaceae bacterium. RNAcentral describes it as "tRNA-Ala". It matches the Rfam family "tRNA". From Rfam's summary of the family: Transfer RNA (tRNA) molecules are approximately 80 nucleotides in length. Lineage: Bacteria; Pseudomonadati; Pseudomonadota; Betaproteobacteria; Burkholderiales; Burkholderiaceae. The record is from RNAcentral.